GAUGAACGCUGGCGGCGUGCCUAAUACAUGCAAGUCGAGCGAACAGACGAGGAGCUUGCUCCUCUGACGUUAGCGGCGGACGGGUGAGUAACACGUGGAUAACCUACCUAUAAGACUGGGAUAACUUCGGGAAACCGGAGCUAAUACCGGAUAAUAUAUUGAACCGCAUGGUUCAAUAGUGAAAGACGGUUUUGCUGUCACUUAUAGAUGGAUCCGCGCCGCAUUAGCUAGUUGGUAAGGUAACGGCUUACCAAGGCGACGAUGCGUAGCCGACUUGAGAGGGUGAUCGGCCACACUGGAACUGAGACACGGUCCAGACUCCUACGGGAGGCAGCAGUAGGGAAUCUUCCGCAAUGGGCGAAAGCCUGACGGAGCAACGCCGCGUGAGUGAUGAAGGUCUUCGGAUCGUAAAACUCUGUUAUUAGGGAAGAACAAAUGUGUAAGUAACUAUGCACGUCUUGACGGUACCUAAUCAGAAAGCCACGGCUAACUACGU
RNAcentral lists this ribosomal RNA (496 nucleotides) under uncultured bacterium. RNAcentral's name for it is "partial 16S ribosomal RNA". It matches the Rfam family "Bacterial small subunit ribosomal RNA", at positions 28 to 506 of the family's 1533-position model. The record is from RNAcentral.